Molecule: ribosomal RNA, 500 nt
Filed under: uncultured bacterium
Lineage: Bacteria
Description: partial 16S ribosomal RNA
Rfam family: Bacterial small subunit ribosomal RNA
Source: RNAcentral
GACGAACGCUGGCGGCGUGCUUAACACAUGCAAGUCGAACGGGUCUGCCCUGUUUUUUGCGGGGUGGGUCAGUGGCGAACGGGUGAGUAACACGUGAGUAACCUGCCCCUCACUUCUGGAUAACCGCUUGAAAGGGUGGCUAAUACGGGGUGUUCUGGCUGUGCCGCAUGGUGUGGCUGGGAAAGAUUCACUUUUGUGGUGUUUUGGUGGGGGAUGGGCUCGCGGCCUAUCAGCUUGUUGGUGGGGUGAUGGCCUGCCAAGGCUUUGACGGGUAGCCGGCCUGGGAGGGUGGGCGGUCAGACUGGGACUGAGGUACGGCCCAGACUGCUGCGGGAGGCAGCAGUGGGGGGUAUUGCACAAUGGGCGGAAGCCUGAUGCAGCGACGUCGCGUGAGGGAUGGAGGCCUUCGGGUUGUGAACCUCUUUCGCCGGUGAAGAAGGUCCUGCUCUUUGUGGUGGGGUUGACGGUAGCCGGGUUAUGAAGCGCCGGCUAACUACGUG